AUUUUAGUCAUCUCAUAUAGUUCUUAUGAGUCCGUUUCUUGAAGAAGAUCAUUGUGUGAGUGAAAGAAGAAAUUAUUAUCCUCCCAUUGCCAGACUGGAAUGCCUCAAAAAUAAGAAGGAAAGAUCUACUAACUGUCAACAUCUAUUUAAAGACUCCUUCUGCAUGGACCAUUUGUAGAACCAUUAUAGCAGGUUUAAUUGGAAUCGGCAGCCUAAGGAAGUGGUGGAGUCACUGCCCCUGGAGAUCUUCAAGAAACCUAGAGUUGUGACAGUGAGGGACAUGGUUUAUUGGGCAUGGUGGUGAUGGGUUGACAGUUGGACUAGAUUAUGUUAGUGGUCUUUUAUAACGUUAACUAUUCUAAAAAUGAAAGUUUCAGAUUGCCUUGCCUUAUAUUUUUUUAAAAUGUAAAUUCAGUUUUGUCUAGAACUCUUUUUUUUCUUCAGAAAAUGUGGACCAAUAGACUGCAUCCAGGUAGUCUUUCACUGUGUGUGUGUUUUAUUGCUUUUGCACCGAGGUUCUCAGGCAUGAAGUAGCUGUGAAAGAAAAAUUCAUGUGACUGAGGUUGAUUUUAAUUGCCAAUAGGUUCUUACUGUCCUAAUAGAUUAGUCACCUAACACCAGCUACAGAAGAGAAUAACCAACUCUUUUGUAUACAGCUAUUCACACAAAAAGAAGAGCAAUACUUUAAGGAAAAUAUUUUUCUCAUUUGCAAAUGCUGUGUUUUCCAUCAAGUUUUUACUUUUAAACUGUAGAAGAGAUUUUAUAAACUACCAAAAAAAAAAAAAAACAAAAAAAAAACAAACAAAAAAAAAAAAAAACAACCAAAAAACCCAGCAAUUAAUGUAAUUACUCUGAUGUGGAAGAGUUCUGGAAUGAAUUGCCAAGUCCUACUGUGGCAUCUAAGUCCAUUUUCAGAUAUAAAACGUGGCUCUCACGAUGACUUUUUCUCCAUGUAGUAAGGAAAGUUUCUCUGUCUGUUGGAAUUGAAUAAUGAAUUCAGACCACACGGUUAUUGCUCAGAGAGAUAUAUCUUACAGUCUUACUCCUAUGAAUGGGUCUUUCCUGUCUCCUCACCCUUUCUGUCUGAAGAUAUAUAUCAUUUACAUGGCUUAUUUUUUACUUGUAGAUUGAAACUAUAUUAACAUAUUAUCCUGUUCAAUCUUGCUUUAUAGGAUGACGUUGCUAUGCCAAGACUUAUUCGUGGUUUUCCUGCUUUAGAAUGCAUAUGCAAGCCCCCCUUUACACUUUGAGAAACAAUUAAUGCAAUCCAAAAUGAGAGGAAACUAGAUGGUUUUAUUCAGACUAAUCUCCCCUUAUCUAUAUGCUGGAUCAUAUGCUGGACUUAUUUUACCUGAUAAAAUUAAAGAAACCUUAAGAUUUUUUUUCACUUGCUGCAGCCAUUUUGAAAAUCAGGCAUAAGAAAAGCAAGUGGUUAACCCAUCAUUUGUCAUUUUGCUAUGUUCAAACUGUAAGAAGAAUUCUAUUUUUUUAACACUGGUAAUAUUGAAAAUCAAUUCAGAGUGGAUUGAUUCCUUUCCUCCCUUUGAUUCCAGAAAUCUUUUUGUUCCUUAGUGUCCCUUGUGGUUGGCUGUCAUGCAGAGGACAGAAAAUUUGAUUUUUAUCAUAUGGAAUGCUUCAGGCUUAGGAGCUUCCUGAUGUAUGAAUUAAAUGAACUUAGUCCAUCAGCAGAUCAGUCAGUCAUACACUGAUGCACGCUAUUAUUCUUAAACAUAUCCUUCUUAAACAUGUAACAGUAGCCAUGUACCUAGGAGCACAAAAUAAUAACUUACUUUUCAGAUCUUAGCAUCCAAAAAAAGUCAGCAUAACAUACAGAAGAUAAAUAUUCUAGUAUCUGCAAUGACUGCCAACCUGUGCUUUUAAACAAAUCAAUUGUAGAACAAACUCAAGUUUUUUUUUUAUUUUUGGGAGAUAAAAGCUACAAUUUCAUGUAAACUUGACUUCCAAUGCUUUGAAGAAAAAUAGAGAAACACCACUAAACAUUACGAGCUUUCAGUAAAAUUAUGGGUGCCAUCUAAGUUAGAAGUGCAGUAACUGAUUGUAUUUUUUUUUCUCCCUAAGUUACUAGCCUUUAAACUAAUAUAAAAGAUGCUCAGCUUUUGUACGGAUAAAUUAGUCAUCAGAAAUAGCUGCCUAAUUAGGAAGAAGUGUUCCUAGCAGCUGAAGUAUGAACAGCUGCAGAUAAUGUUACUGUGUACUUCAGGUGGUUUAACCAAUUUAUUCUUCCCUUCAUGCUUUAGCACAGUAUAGAAAAUACUUUGAGGAGAAUAACAGAUAAUGUAGAUAAAUACUGUAUAAAUUUUUAUCAUUCAAAAGUUUUGUCUCUAAGCAAAUUAUCUUUGAAAUCUCUAAACAAUACUAUGUUAAUGA
Long non-coding RNA from Tympanuchus pallidicinctus (lesser prairie-chicken), 2388 nucleotides. RefSeq lists it as uncharacterized. NCBI's taxonomy places the organism in Eukaryota, Metazoa, Chordata, Aves, Galliformes, Phasianidae. The record is from RefSeq and is a predicted model, not a curated record. The transcript is spliced from 3 exons.